GGAAGUAAAAGUCGUUACAAGGUUUCCGUAGGUGAACCUGCGGAAGGAUCAUUAUUGUAUAACCGAGGUGCGAGGGCUGUCGCUGACCCGAAAGGUCGUGCACGCCCGAGUGCCCUCACACACAUCCAUCUCACCCCUAUGUGCACCACCGCGUGGGUCCCCCUUUGGCUUGUUCGGAGGGGGGCUUACGUUUUCACACAAACUUUGUAUGCAGUGUAGAAUGUAUUUUUUGUUUUUGCGAUCACGCAAUCAAUACAACUUUCAACAACGGAUCUCUUGGCUCUC
RNAcentral lists this unclassified non-coding RNA (285 nucleotides) under plant metagenome. RNAcentral's name for it is "partial contains small subunit ribosomal RNA, internal transcribed spacer 1, and 5.8S ribosomal RNA". The stretch from base 1 to 54 matches the Rfam family "Eukaryotic small subunit ribosomal RNA", at positions 1778 to 1831 of the family's 1831-position model. The record is from RNAcentral.